GAUGAACGCUGGCGGCGUGCUUAACACAUGCAAGUCGAACGGGAUCCAUCGGGCUUUGCUUGGUGGUGAGAGUGGCGAACGGGUGAGUAAUGCGUGACCGACCUGCCCCAUGCUCCGGAAUAGCUCCUGGAAACGGGUGGUAAUGCCGGAUGUUCCACAUGAUCGCAUGUGAUUGUGGGAAAGAUUUCAUCGGCGUGGGAUGGGGUCGCGUCCUAUCAGCUUGUUGGUGAGGUAACGGCUCACCAAGGCUUCGACGGGUAGCCGGCCUGAGAGGGCGACCGGCCACAUUGGGACUGAGAUACGGCCCAGACUCCUACGGGAGGCAGCAGUGGGGAAUAUUGCACAAUGGGCGCAAGCCUGAUGCAGCGACGCCGCGUGAGGGAUGGAGGCCUUCGGGUUGUAAACCUCUUUUGUUUGGGAGCAAGCCUUCGGG
This 433-nucleotide ribosomal RNA is filed under the name uncultured bacterium. Its description in RNAcentral is "bacterial SSU rRNA". It matches the Rfam family "Bacterial small subunit ribosomal RNA", at positions 28 to 458 of the family's 1533-position model. The record is from RNAcentral.